GAGGGGAGGAGAAGCUAGGUGGUGAGGGACUGAGCAGAAAGGAAAAAUGACUCAUGGAUAUGGACAACAGUAAAGUGAUUGCUGGGGUGAAAGGAGUAUAAGGGACUAAAUGGUAAUGGCAAAAAUAUAAUAAAGAUUAUAUUUAAAAAAUAAAAAAUAAAAUAAAAUAAAAAUACAACACUAACUGUGAGCUCCAAAAUUCAUUCUACUACCUACGAACUGGCUAUUUGAAAAACACUGCCACAGAGACCUCUAGUAGAACUGAUACCCACUUUCUCCUAUUAUUAGGACUAAUCCCAUUAUACCUCACAUCCCAGGAAAAGACCAGCUCUUCCUGGGCAUCUGUCUGUCAUUACCCAAGUUCAUAUUGCCACACUGCUGGGUAUAUCCUCCACUGGAGGCUGUGCCCUUACUUCCUUCACCCUUUGCUGACUUCACCAUUCAUGCACACUGAUUGACUCCUUUAAUACCUCAGCCUCUUUAUUCAUUGGCCUCUUCAUUUCCACCUCAGCAGCCCACUCCCAAUACCAUCUUGGGUAUUAUCACCACCAGAAACUAUUACACCUGUCAAAUCUCCAUUUCAAGCAUCCCACUCUGACCACCAUGUUCAAUCCUUACUUCACAUCACCCACCCCACCCCCUACAACAAUUUAAUCAAAACUUCCAAAACAGUGAUGCUACCACUUAUUUACUAUUCAUCCUUAUUUCACCUACUUUCUUGUUCAUGUUAAACUUCACGAUUCAUCGCCACUCCUCUAACUAUCCCCUUUAAAAAGCCCUCAUUUCCCUUGUCCCUUUUCCUUCUAUAUUGACUUAGUAUUAUGCAUUAACUUGGGCUAUAGUCUUGUUAUUCAAUCAAUUACUAGUGUAUAAGUGUUACUGUGAAAGUAUUUUGUAGAUAUGGUAGCAUCCACAAUCAGUUAACUUUAAGUGAAGGAGAUUAUCCUCAACAAUAUGGGUGAGCCUCACCCAAGCAGUUGAAAGCUCUUAAGAGCAAAACUGAGGUUUCCCUAAGAAAGAGGAAAUUCUGUUUCAAGACUGCAGCAUCAGCUCUUGCUCCAGUUUCCUGCAAGCCUGCCCUACAGAUUGCCAACUUUUCAGUCCCAUAAUUAUGUAAGCAAAUUUGUGGAAAUUUCUUUAUACAUACAUAUCUCCUGCUGACACCAUUUCUCUAGAGAACUCUGACUGAUACGCCUGGCAAAGCCUCAUACCAGAGGAAUCCAACCACCUGCAGUAUCUGUGCUUCUAUCUAAUCAGUUAAAUAAUGCUGGGGGGAAAGCAAAAUUAAAAAAAUAAAAACCUAGGCUGACUGAUAUCACCUUAAAAAUUCAAGAUUUAAAACUUUAAAUUAACAAUCAAUAAGUACUGGCAAACUGCUUCGAACUUCCCACACUCCCUUACUCUCUGCUCAUACCAAUAUCAGAGUUCACUGAGAAAAGAGAAACCACAAGAGAAAAUGAAGGCCUGGAGGAUAAGGCUUCAUCUUAAAACCAUCAAACUUCCUCGCAAGGGUACACAACUUUUCUGCGUUCCUUCCAGUUCAUGGAAGACAUCUCUCUCACAAAGGUCAACCUCUCUACUUGUACCCUCUAUCCCCUUUACCACAUAUUCUCCUUUCACUGGCUGGACCCCACAUUUUCUUUUAUCUACCAACCCACUUCUCUGUUCCAUUCACAGCUAAACUUUUUAAAGUUGUCUACAUGCAAUGUGUCUGAUAUGCUUUCUUACU
Molecule: long non-coding RNA, 1729 nt
Organism: Phyllostomus discolor (pale spear-nosed bat)
Lineage: Eukaryota; Metazoa; Chordata; Mammalia; Chiroptera; Phyllostomidae
Exons: 2
Source: RefSeq, a predicted model, not a curated record